RNAcentral lists this long non-coding RNA (290 nucleotides) under Elaeis guineensis (African oil palm). Its description in RNAcentral is "long non-coding RNA (EGUI_LNC072204)". The record is from RNAcentral. Lineage: Eukaryota; Viridiplantae; Streptophyta; Magnoliopsida; Arecales; Arecaceae.
UUCGGAGGAUGCGAAGGUCCGGCCCCCGAUGCUGGCCUCUUCCUUGUCGCAAAUUGCCGAAUCUCAGCGUCAGUCGGCCGCAUUCUUGGAGGUGUCCCUGCGAUACCGACAAAGUGUUAAUCAAAGAACCGGACCAAGGGCCGAAUGAAAAGGAGACCGGGGGAUCGGGCGAUACCUAGUCGGGGGACCAAGCUCAGGCCGGCGUCAUAGAGAGCUUGUUCGGUAACAAGCUCCCUCUGCUUCGGGACCGACAUAUCUUUGAGUCGGUGGAAAUCCUCCCGGUCGUCCGC